AACGAACGCUGGCGGCGUGGAUUAGGCAUGCAAGUCGAACGGUAUCAUCCUUUCGGGGGUGAGAGAGUGGCGAACUGGUGAGUAACACGUAGGUUAUCUACCCUCAAGACGGGGACAACCCAGGGAAACUUGGGCUAAUACCGGAUGUGAGCAACUUUUAGUUGUUUGAAAGGUGGCGUAAGCUGUCGCUUGGGGAUGAGCCUGCGUCCUAUUAGUUAGUUGGUGAGGUAACGGCUCACCUAGGCAAUGAUAGGUAGGCGGCCUUAACGGGUGGUCGCCCACACUGGGAUUGAGAUACGGCCCAGACUCCUACGGGAGGCAGCAGUCGAGAAUAGUCUACAAUGGUCGGAAGACUGAUAGUGCGACGCCGCGUGAACGAUGAAUCCCUUCGGGGUGUAAAGUUCUUUUAUAUGUGAGCAGUGCUUCUUAUAUUAACAGUAUGGGGAGAGAGAUAUUAGCAUAUGAAUAAGCAACGGCUAACUCCGUGCCAGCAGCCGCGGU
This 501-nucleotide ribosomal RNA is filed under the name uncultured bacterium. RNAcentral's name for it is "bacterial SSU rRNA". It matches the Rfam family "Bacterial small subunit ribosomal RNA", at positions 29 to 521 of the family's 1533-position model. The record is from RNAcentral.